This 497-nucleotide ribosomal RNA is filed under the name uncultured archaeon. RNAcentral describes it as "bacterial SSU rRNA". It matches the Rfam family "Archaeal small subunit ribosomal RNA", at positions 345 to 849 of the family's 1478-position model. The record is from RNAcentral.
AACCUCUACAAUGCACGAAAGUGUGAUAGGGGGAUUCCACGUGCAAGCUUUGCUUGCUUUUCUCAAGUCCAAAACGCUUGGGGAAUAAGGGCUGGGCAAGACCCGUGCCAGCCGCCGCGGUAACACGGGCAGCUCGAGUAGCGUUCGCGUAUAUUGGGCCUAAAGCGUGCGUAGCCGGCUGAGAAAGUUCUUUGUGAAAGCAUGCGACUUAAUCGUGUGAAUUGCAAGGAAUACUACUCGGCUUGGGACCGGGAAGGGUCGGAGGUAUUUCCGGGGUAGGGGUAAAAUCCUGUGAUCCCGGAAGGACCAUCGGUGGCGAAGGCGUCCGACUGGAACGGGUCCGACGGUGAGGCACGAAAGCUAGGGGAGCGACCCGGAUUAGAUACCCGGUUAGUCCUAGCCGUAAAUGAUGCAGGUUUGGUAUUGCACUUCUUACGAGGAAUUGCAGUGCCGUAGGGAAGCCGUUAAACCUGCCGCCUGGGAGUACGCCGCAAGGC